RNAcentral lists this ribosomal RNA (467 nucleotides) under uncultured bacterium. RNAcentral describes it as "partial 16S ribosomal RNA". It matches the Rfam family "Bacterial small subunit ribosomal RNA", at positions 28 to 507 of the family's 1533-position model. The record is from RNAcentral.
GACGAACGCUGGCGGCGUGCUUAACACAUGCAAGUCGAACGGAAAGGCCCUGCUUUUGUGGGGUGCUCGAGUGGCGAACGGGUGAGUAACACGUGAGUAACCUGCCCUUGACUUUGGGAUAACUUCAGGAAACUGGGGCUAUACCGGAUAGGAGCUCCUGCUGCAUGGUGGGGGGUGGAAAGUUUCGGCGGUUGGGGGUGGACUCGCGGCUUAUCAGCUUGUUGGUGGGGUAGUGGCUUACCAAGGCUUUGACGGGUAGCCGGCCUGAGAGGGUGACCGGCCACAUUGGGACUGAGAUACGGCCCAGACUCCUACGGGAGGCAGCAGUGGGGAAUAUUGCACAAUGGGCGGAAGCCUGAUGCAGCAACGCCGCGUGCGGGAUGACGGCCUUCGGGUUGUAAACCGCUUUCGCCUGUGACGAAGCGUGAGUGACGGUAAUGGGUAAAGAAGCACCGGCUAACUACGUG